AUCAACCAUCAUUUCACAUAGGUGUAAAUGAUGCACAGCUCUGAUCUCGGAAGCUGAACAGGUUCGGGCCUGGUCAGUACCUGGUUGGGCAACUGCCUGGGAACACUGGGUGUUGUAGGCN
This 121-nucleotide ribosomal RNA is filed under the name Eptatretus burgeri (inshore hagfish). The record is from RNAcentral. Lineage: Eukaryota; Metazoa; Chordata; Myxini; Myxiniformes; Myxinidae.